AUCACCCGCGGUAAUUCCAGCUCCAAUAGCGUAUAUUAAAGUUGUUGCAGUUAAAAAGCUCGUAGUUGAAUUUCGGGGUCGGUAGAUUGGUCGUGCCUCUGGUAUGCACAGGUCUUACUGGCUCCUCCUUCCUGAUGAACCGUAAUGCCAUUAAUUUGGUGUUGCGGGGAGACUGGACUGUUACUUUGAAAAAGUUAGAGUGUUUAAAGCAGGCUAACGCCUGAAUACAUUAGCAUGGAAUAAUGAAAUAGGACGUUCGAUCUUAUUUUGUUGGUUUCUAAGAUUGACGUAAUGAUUAAUAGGGAUAGUUGGGGGCAUUAGUAUUCAAUUGUCAGAGGUGAAAUUCUUGGAUUUAU
This 356-nucleotide ribosomal RNA is filed under the name uncultured Glomeraceae. RNAcentral's name for it is "SSU rRNA". It matches the Rfam family "Eukaryotic small subunit ribosomal RNA", at positions 569 to 929 of the family's 1831-position model. The record is from RNAcentral. Lineage: Eukaryota; Fungi; Glomeromycota; Glomeromycetes; Glomerales; Glomeraceae.